GACUCUCGGCAAUGUUUAACUCAGCUCUCGCAUCGAUGAAGAACGUAGCAAAAUGCGAUACUUCAUGUGAAUUAUCAAAUCUCGUGAACCAUAGAGUCUUUGAACGCAAGUUACGCCUGAAGCCAUUAGGUUGAGGGCACAUCUUCCUGGGCAUCU
Molecule: ribosomal RNA, 156 nt
Organism: Camellia sinensis
Lineage: Eukaryota; Viridiplantae; Streptophyta; Magnoliopsida; Ericales; Theaceae
Product: 5.8S ribosomal RNA
Source: RefSeq, a predicted model, not a curated record